GGGGGCGAAACAGGAUCGACGAGGGCGUAAAGGGCGAGCUUUUGUCCGGAAUGGUUCCGCCGUGAUCGGGCCAUGCAAUAGUUGCCAACGACAACUAUGCUCCGGUUGCUCAGGCAGCGUAACGCUGCUUGAAAGACCACAUGAAAGUCCUGGCGGGUUAAGCGCCGCCAGGCGGGGUUCGGAGGCGCCUGGCAACAGAAGCCUCCACU
This 209-nucleotide transfer-messenger RNA is filed under the name Rhodopseudomonas palustris BisB18. RNAcentral's name for it is "transfer-messenger RNA Rhodo_palus_BisB18.1". It matches the Rfam family "Alphaproteobacteria transfer-messenger RNA", at positions 148 to 355 of the family's 355-position model. From Rfam's summary of the family: Bacterial tmRNA, also known as 10Sa RNA or SsrA, is named for its dual tRNA and mRNA-like properties. Lineage: Bacteria; Pseudomonadati; Pseudomonadota; Alphaproteobacteria; Hyphomicrobiales; Nitrobacteraceae. The record is from RNAcentral.